GGAGUUGUGCCUGAAAUCUAAGGGCCACUUUGAUAGAGUGUACUAUAAGGGUUAAAGUCCCUUCAACUCCU
Molecule: transfer RNA, 71 nt
Filed under: Pseudorhombus dupliciocellatus (ocellated flounder)
Lineage: Eukaryota; Metazoa; Chordata; Actinopteri; Pleuronectiformes; Paralichthyidae
Description: tRNA-Ile
Rfam family: tRNA
About the family: Transfer RNA (tRNA) molecules are approximately 80 nucleotides in length. Their secondary structure includes four short double-helical elements and three loops (D, anti-codon, and T loops).
Source: RNAcentral